RNAcentral lists this ribosomal RNA (963 nucleotides) under Bifidobacteriaceae bacterium. RNAcentral describes it as "bacterial SSU rRNA". It matches the Rfam family "Bacterial small subunit ribosomal RNA", at positions 1 to 954 of the family's 1533-position model. Lineage: Bacteria; Bacillati; Actinomycetota; Actinomycetes; Bifidobacteriales; Bifidobacteriaceae. The record is from RNAcentral.
UUGAUGGAGAGUUUGAUCCUGGCUCAGGACGAACGCUGGCGGCGUGCUUAACACAUGCAAGUCGAACGAUGAACUUGGGGUUUCGGCCUUGGGGGAUUAGUGGCGAACGGGUGAGUAACACGUGAGUAACCUGCCCUGGACUCCGGGAUAACUGUUGGAAACGGCAUUGUAAUACGGGAUGUCUGCCUUGUGCCGCAUGGUGUGGGGUGGAAAGGUUUUUUCUGGUUCAGGAUGGGCUCGCGGCCUAUCAGCUUGUUGGUGGGGUGAUGGCCUACCAAGGCUUUGACGGGUAGCCGGCCUGAGAGGGUGACCGGCCACACUGGGACUGAGAUACGGCCCAGACUCCUGCGGGAGGCAGCAGUGGGGAAUAUUGCACAAUGGGCGCAAGCCUGAUGCAGCGACGCCGCGUGAGGGAUGACGGCCUUCGGGUUGUAAACCUCUUUCGGCAGGGAAGAAGCUUGUUGGUUUUCUGAUGAGUGACGGUACCUGUUAAAGAAGCGCCGGCUAACUACGUGCCAGCAGCCGCGGUGAUACGUAGGGCGCAAGCGUUGUCCGGAAUUAUUGGGCGUAAAGGGCUCGUAGGCGGCUGGUUGCGUCUGCUGUGAAAUCCUUCGGCUUAACUGGGGGCUUGCAGUGGGUACGGGCUGGCUAGAGUGCGGUAGGGGAGACUGGAAUUCCUGGUGUAGCGGUGGAAUGCGCAGAUAUCAGGAGGAACACCGAUGGCGAAGGCAGGUCUCUGGGCCGUUACUGACGCUGAGGAGCGAAAGCGUGGGGAGCGAACAGGAUUAGAUACCCUGGUAGUCCACGCUGUAAACGUUGGGCACUGGAUGUGGGUUCCUUUUUUGGGGUCUGUGUCGUAGCUAACGCGUUAAGUGCCCCGCCUGGGGAGUACGGCCGCAAGGCUAAAACUCAAAGGAAUUGACGGGGCCCCGCACAAGCGGCGGAGCAUGCGGAUUAAUUCGA